RNAcentral lists this ribosomal RNA (253 nucleotides) under uncultured bacterium. RNAcentral's name for it is "partial 16S ribosomal RNA". It matches the Rfam family "Bacterial small subunit ribosomal RNA", at positions 524 to 776 of the family's 1533-position model. The record is from RNAcentral.
UACGGGGGGGGCAAGCGUUGUUCGGAAUUACUGGGCGUAAAGGGCUCGUAGGCGGCCAACUAAGUCAGACGUGAAAUCCCUCGGCUUAACCGGGGAACUGCGUCUGAUACUGGAUGGCUUGAAUCCGGGAGAGGGAUGCGGAAUUCCAGGUGUAGCGGUGAAAUGCGUAGAUAUCAGGAGGAACACCAAUGGCGAAGGCAGCUCGCUGGAACGGUACUGACGCUGAGGCGCGAAAGCGUGGGGAGCAAACAGG